Molecule: ribosomal RNA, 253 nt
Filed under: uncultured bacterium
Lineage: Bacteria
Description: partial 16S ribosomal RNA
Rfam family: Bacterial small subunit ribosomal RNA
Source: RNAcentral
UACGGGGGGGGCAAGCGUUGUUCGGAAUUACUGGGCGUAAAGGGCUCGUAGGCGGCCUUCUAAGUCGAACGUGAAAUCCCCGGGCUCAACCCGGGAACUGCGUCCGAUACUGGAAGGCUUGAAUCCGGGAGAGGGAUGCGGAAUUCCAGGUGUAGCGGUGAAAUGCGUAGAUAUCUGGAGGAAUACCGGUGGCGAAGGCGGCAUCCUGGACCGACAUUGACGCUGAUGAGCGAAAGCUAGGGGAGCAAACGGG